CGUCCAGACUCCUACGGGAGGCAGCAGUGGGGGAUAUUGCACAAUGGGGGAGACCCUGAUGCAGCGACGCCGCGUGAGUGAAGAAGUAUUUCGGUACGUAAAGCUCUAUCAGCAGGGAAGAAAAAUGACGGUACCUGACUAAGAAGCCCCGGCUAACUACGUGCCAGCAGCCGCGGUAAUACGUAGGGGGCAAGCGUUAUCCGGAUUUACUGGGUGUAAAGGGAGCGUAGACGGCUGUGCAAGUCUGAAGUGAAAUGCCGGGGCCCACCCCCGGGACUGCUUUGGAAACUGUGUAGCUAGAGUGCAGGAGAGGUAAGUGGAAUUCCUAGUGUGGCGGUGAAAUGCGUAGAUAUUAGGAGGAGCACCAGUGGCGAGGGCGGCUUACUGGACUGUAACUGACGUUGAGGCGCGAAGGCGUGGGGAGCAAACAGGAUUAGAUACCCCGGUAAA
RNAcentral lists this ribosomal RNA (450 nucleotides) under uncultured bacterium. RNAcentral's name for it is "bacterial SSU rRNA". It matches the Rfam family "Bacterial small subunit ribosomal RNA", at positions 328 to 794 of the family's 1533-position model. The record is from RNAcentral.